GUGCUGCUUGCUUCAGCAACACAUAUUCUAAAUUUGGAAACAAUAUAGAGAAGAUUAGCAUGGCCCCUGUAUAAGGAUGACACACAAAUUUGUGAAGUGUUCCAUAUAAUU
Small nuclear RNA from Meriones unguiculatus (Mongolian gerbil), 111 nucleotides. The record is from Ensembl. NCBI's taxonomy places the organism in Eukaryota, Metazoa, Chordata, Mammalia, Rodentia, Muridae.